This 404-nucleotide ribosomal RNA is filed under the name uncultured bacterium. RNAcentral describes it as "bacterial SSU rRNA". It matches the Rfam family "Bacterial small subunit ribosomal RNA", at positions 355 to 776 of the family's 1533-position model. The record is from RNAcentral.
UGGGGAAUAUUGGACAAUGGGCGAAAGCCUGAUCCAGCAAUACCGCGUGAGUGAUGAAGGCCUUAGGGUUGUAAAGCUCUUUUAGCAGGGAAGAUAAUGACGGUACCUGCAGAAAAAGCCCCGGCUAACUCCGUGCCAGCAGCCGCGGUAAGACGGAGGGGGCUAGCGUUGUUCGGAAUUACUGGGCGUAAAGAGCGCGUAGGCGGUCUGGUAAGUUGGAAGUGAAAGCCCGAGGCUUAACCUCGGAAUUGCUUUCAAAACUACUGGACUAGAGUAUGGUAGGGGGUGAUAGAAUUCCUAGUGUAGAGGUGAAAUUCUUAGAUAUUAGGAGGAAUACCGGUGGCGAAGGCGAUCACCUGGGCCAUUACUGACGCUGAGGUGCGAAAGCGUGGGGAGCAAACAGG